RNAcentral lists this ribosomal RNA (2927 nucleotides) under Cronobacter sakazakii. RNAcentral's name for it is "bacterial LSU rRNA". It matches the Rfam family "Bacterial large subunit ribosomal RNA". The record is from RNAcentral. Lineage: Bacteria; Pseudomonadati; Pseudomonadota; Gammaproteobacteria; Enterobacterales; Enterobacteriaceae.
GGGUUGUGAGGUUAAGCGAACAAGCGUACACGGUGGAUGCCCUGGCAGUCAGAGGCGAUGAAGGACGUGCUAAUCUGCGAAAAGCGCCGGUAAGGUGAUAUGAACCGUUAUAACCGGCGAUGUCCGAAUGGGGAAACCCGGUGCACUUCGGUGCAUCAUCGUUAGCUGAAUACAUAGGCUAACGAGGCGAACCGGGGGAACUGAAACAUCUAAGUACCCCGAGGAAAAGAAAUCAACCGAGAUUCCCCCAGUAGCGGCGAGCGAACGGGGAACAGCCCAGAGCCUGAAUCAGUUUGUGUGUCAGUGGAACGGUCUGGAAAGGCCGGCGAUACAGGGUGACAGCCCCGUACACGAAGGCACACAGGCUGUGAGCUCGAUGAGUAGGGCGGGACACGUGAUAUCCUGUCUGAAGAUGGGGGGACCAUCCUCCAAGGCUAAAUACUCCUGACUGACCGAUAGUGAACCAGUACCGUGAGGGAAAGGCGAAAAGAACCCCGGCGAGGGGAGUGAAACAGAACCUGAAACCGUGUACGUACAAGCAGUGGGAGCCUUCGUAAGAGGGUGACUGCGUACCUUUUGUAUAAUGGGUCAGCGACUUAUAUUCUGUAGCAAGGUUAACCGUAUAGGGGAGCCGAAGGGAAACCGAGUCUUAACCGGGCGUUAAGUUGCAGGGUAUAGACCCGAAACCCGGUGAUCUAGCCAUGGGCAGGUUGAAGGUUGGGUAACACUAACUGGAGGACCGAACCGACUAAUGUUGAAAAAUUAGCGGAUGACCUGUGGCUGGGGGUGAAAGGCCAAUCAAACCGGGAGAUAGCUGGUUCUCCCCGAAAGCUAUUUAGGUAGCGCCUCGUGAAUUCAUCUCCGGGGGUAGAGCACUGUUUCGGCUAGGGGGCCAUCCCGGCUUACCAACCCGAUGCAAACUGCGAAUACCGGAGAAUGUUAUCACGGGAGACACACGGCGGGUGCUAACGUCCGUCGUGAAGAGGGAAACAACCCAGACCGCCAGCUAAGGUCCCAAAGUCAUGGUUAAGUGGGAAACGAUGUGGGAAGGCCCAGACAGCCAGGAUGUUGGCUUAGAAGCAGCCAUCAUUUAAAGAAAGCGUAAUAGCUCACUGGUCGAGUCGGCCUGCGCGGAAGAUGUAACGGGGCUAAACCAUGCACCGAAGCUGCGGCAGCGACACUAUGUGUUGUUGGGUAGGGGAGCGUUCUGUAAGCCUGUGAAGGUGUGCUGUGAGGCAUGCUGGAGGUAUCAGAAGUGCGAAUGCUGACAUAAGUAACGAUAAAGCGGGUGAAAAGCCCGCUCGCCGGAAGACCAAGGGUUCCUGUCCAACGUUAAUCGGGGCAGGGUGAGUCGACCCCUAAGGCGAGGCCGAAAGGCGUAGUCGAUGGGAAACAGGUUAAUAUUCCUGUACUUGGUGUUACUGCGAAGGGGGGACGGAGAAGGCUAUGUCGGCCGGGCGACGGUUGUCCCGGUUUAAGCGUGUAGGCUGACUUUCCAGGCAAAUCCGGAGAGUUAAGGCUGAGGCGUGAUGACGAGGCACCACGGUGCUGAAGUGACAAAUGCCCUGCUUCCAGGAAAAGCCUCUAAGCAUCAGGUAACAUCAAAUCGUACCCCAAACCGACACAGGUGGUCAGGUAGAGAAUACCAAGGCGCUUGAGAGAACUCGGGUGAAGGAACUAGGCAAAAUGGUGCCGUAACUUCGGGAGAAGGCACGCUGACAUGUAGGUGAAGCCCCUGCGGGUGGAGCUGAAGUCAGUCGAAGAUACCAGCUGGCUGCAACUGUUUAUUAAAAACACAGCACUGUGCAAACACGAAAGUGGACGUAUACGGUGUGACGCCUGCCCGGUGCCGGAAGGUUAAUUGAUGGGGUUAUCGCAAGAGAAGCUCCUGAUCGAAGCCCCGGUAAACGGCGGCCGUAACUAUAACGGUCCUAAGGUAGCGAAAUUCCUUGUCGGGUAAGUUCCGACCUGCACGAAUGGCGUAAUGAUGGCCAGGCUGUCUCCACCCGAGACUCAGUGAAAUUGAACUCGCUGUGAAGAUGCAGUGUACCCGCGGCAAGACGGAAAGACCCCGUGAACCUUUACUACAGCUUGACACUGAACAUUGAGCCUUGAUGUGUAGGAUAGGUGGGAGGCUUUGAAGCGUGGACGCCAGUCUGCGUGGAGCCAACCUUGAAAUACCACCCUUUAAUGUUUGAUGUUCUAACCUGGCGCCAUAAUCUGGCGUGGGGACAGUGUCUGGUGGGUAGUUUGACUGGGGCGGUCUCCUCCCAAAGUGUAACGGAGGAGCACGAAGGUCAGCUAAUCCUGGUCGGACAUCAGGAGGUUAGUGCAAUGGCAUAAGCUGGCUUGACUGCGAGAGUGACGGCUCGAGCAGGUGCGAAAGCAGGUCAUAGUGAUCCGGUGGUUCUGUAUGGAAGGGCCAUCGCUCAACGGAUAAAAGGUACUCCGGGGAUAACAGGCUGAUACCGCCCAAGAGUUCAUAUCGACGGCGGUGUUUGGCACCUCGAUGUCGGCUCAUCACAUCCUGGGGCUGAAGUAGGUCCCAAGGGUAUGGCUGUUCGCCAUUUAAAGUGGUACGCGAGCUGGGUUUAGAACGUCGUGAGACAGUUCGGUCCCUAUCUGCCGUGGGCGCUGGAGAAUUGAGGGGGGCUGCUCCCAGUACGAGAGGACCGGAGUGGACGCAUCACUGGUGUUCGGGUUGUCAUGCCAAUGGCACUGCCCGGUAGCUAAAUGCGGAAGAGAUAAGUGCUGAAAGCAUCUAAGCACGAAACUUGCCCCGAGAUGAGUUCUCCCUGAGACUGUAAGUCUCCUGAAGGAACGUUGAAGACGACGACGUUGAUAGGCCGGGUGUGUAAGCGCAGCGAUGCGUUGAGCUAACCGGUACUAAUGAACCGUGAGGCUUAACCUUACAACGCCAAAGAAGU